GAUGUUGGCUUAGAAGCAGCCAUCAUUUAAAGAAAGCGUAAUAGCUCACUGGUCGAGUCGGCCUGCGCGGAAGAUGUAACGGGGCUAAACCAUGCACCGAAGCUGCGGCAGCGACACUGUGUGUUGUUGGGUAGGGGAGCGUUCUGUAAGCCUGUGAAGGUGUGUCGUGAGGCAUGCUGGAGGUAUCAGAAGUGCGAAUGCUGACAUAAGUAACGAUAAAGCGGGUGAAAAGCCCGCUCGCCGGAAGACCAAGGGUUCCUGUCCAACGUUAAUCGGGGCAGGGUGAGUCGACCCCUAAGGCGAGGCCGAAAGGCGUAGUCGAUGGGAAACGGGUUAAUAUUCCCGUACUUGGUGUUACUGCGAAGGGGGGACGGAGAAGGCUAUGUUGGCCGGGCGACGGUUGUCCCGGUUUAAGCGUGUAGGUGUGUGUUCCAGGUAAAUCCGGUUCACUUUAACACUGAGGCGUGACGACGAGGCACUACGGUGCUGAAGCAACAAAUGCCCUGCUUCCAGGAAAAGCCUCUAAGCAUCAGGUAACAUCAAAUCGUACCCCAAACCGACACAGGUGGUCAGGUAGAGAAUACCAAGGCGCUUGAGAGAACUCGGGUGAAGGAACUAGGCAAAAUGGUGCCGUAACUUCGGGAGAAGGCACGCUGACACGUAGGUGAAGUGAUUUACUCAUGGAGCUGAAGUCAGUCGAAGAUACCAGCUGGCUGCAACUGUUUAUUAAAAACACAGCACUGUGCAAACACGAAAGUGGACGUAUACGGUGUGACGCCUGCCCGGUGCCGGAAGGUUAAUUGAUGGGGUCAGCGCAAGCGAAGCUCCUGAUCGAAGCCCCGGUAAACGGCGGCCGUAACUAUAACGGUCCUAAGGUAGCGAAAUUCCUUGUCGGGUAAGUUCCGACCUGCACGAAUGGCGUAAUGAUGGCCAGGCUGUCUCCACCCGAGACUCAGUGAAAUUGAACUCGCUGUGAAGAUGCAGUGUACCCGCGGCAAGACGGAAAGACCCCGUGAACCUUUACUAUAGCUUGACACUGAACAUUGAGCCUUGAUGUGUAGGAUAGGUGGGAGGCUUUGAAGUGUGGACGCCAGUCUGCAUGGAGCCGACCUUGAAAUACCACCCUUUAAUGUUUGAUGUUCUAACGUGGACCCGUUACCCGGGUUGCGGACAGUGUCUGGUGGGUAGUUUGACUGGGGCGGUCUCCUCCUAAAGAGUAACGGAGGAGCACGAAGGUUGGCUAAUCCUGGUCGGACAUCAGGAGGUUAGUGCAAUGGCAUAAGCCAGCUUGACUGCGAGCGUGACGGCGCGAGCAGGUGCGAAAGCAGGUCAUAGUGAUCCGGUGGUUCUGAAUGGAAGGGCCAUCGCUCAACGGAUAAAAGGUACUCCGGGGAUAACAGGCUGAUACCGCCCAAGAGUUCAUAUCGACGGCGGUGUUUGGCACCUCGAUGUCGGCUCAUCACAUCCUGGGGCUGAAGUAGGUCCCAAGGGUAUGGCUGUUCGCCAUUUAAAGUGGUACGCGAGCUGGGUUUAGAACGUCGUGAGACAGUUCGGUCCCUAUCUGCCGUGGGCGCUGGAGAACUGAGGGGGGCUGCUCCUAGUACGAGAGGACCGGAGUGGACGCAUCACUGGUGUUCGGGUUGUCAUGCCAAUGGCACUGCCCGGUAGCUAAAUGCGGAAGAGAUAAGUGCUGAAAGCAUCUAAGCACGAAACUUGCCCCGA
This 1722-nucleotide ribosomal RNA is filed under the name Salmonella enterica. Its description in RNAcentral is "partial 23S ribosomal RNA". It matches the Rfam family "Bacterial large subunit ribosomal RNA", at positions 1097 to 2802 of the family's 2925-position model. Lineage: Bacteria; Pseudomonadati; Pseudomonadota; Gammaproteobacteria; Enterobacterales; Enterobacteriaceae. RNAcentral also lists the same sequence under 1 other name. The record is from RNAcentral.